UACGUAGGGAGCAAGCGUUGUCCGGAAUCAUUGGGCGUAAAGCGCGCGUAGGUGGCCCCAUAAGUCCGCUGUGAAAGUCAAAGGCUCAACCUUUGAAAGCCGGUGGAUACUGUGGGACUAGAGUACGGAAGAGGCGAGUGGAAUUCCUGGUGUAGCGGUGGAAUGCGCAGAUAUCAGGAGGAACACCAAUAGCGAAGGCAGCUCGCUGGGACGUGACUGACACUAAGGCGCGAAAGCGUGGGGAGCGAACAGG
RNAcentral lists this ribosomal RNA (253 nucleotides) under uncultured bacterium. Its description in RNAcentral is "partial 16S ribosomal RNA". It matches the Rfam family "Bacterial small subunit ribosomal RNA", at positions 524 to 776 of the family's 1533-position model. The record is from RNAcentral.